This 228-nucleotide unclassified non-coding RNA is filed under the name Hevea brasiliensis (rubber tree). Lineage: Eukaryota; Viridiplantae; Streptophyta; Magnoliopsida; Malpighiales; Euphorbiaceae. The record is from RNAcentral.
AAAAAUAGUUAUUUUUUUAAUAAUUUGGCUAAUUAAAUUUGAUAAGUUGAGCUCAUGAGCUUAAUAAACAAGCUAAAUGUAAGCUGAACUUAUGAGCUUAAUUAACAACCUUAAUGCGAGCUGAGCUCGAGCCUAAUAAAAUCUAAAUGAGCCACCUAAGCUCUUCAAAACUUGGCUUAGAUCAUUUACAUCCCUAUAUUUCAGAAGUCACUUCAAGGAGCUCAUAGU